RNAcentral lists this long non-coding RNA (315 nucleotides) under Mus spicilegus (steppe mouse). RNAcentral's name for it is "lncRNA (ENSMSIG00000016531.1)". Lineage: Eukaryota; Metazoa; Chordata; Mammalia; Rodentia; Muridae. The record is from RNAcentral.
GUGGGAGGCUGGGUGUUCCAGGGCAGCUUAACCACUGUGCAGGCUUAACCGGAACUGGAGAUACAGAAACCAACCCACCCAGCACAAAUGCAAGCGUUUUCACCCACUACCUUUAGCUUCUUUGUGAGCUGCAGUCAUGUGACAUGAGACGAGCUGACUACAGUGGCUGUGUGGUUUGCAUGGGGGCCAGAUGCUGUGCUUCCCAUACCAAGCCCAUGAGCCCACAGUUGAGAGACCUUGGAUUUUCCUGUUGUUUGUUUUGUUUAAAGGCGAGCGCCACCACUACCUGGUGACCUUGGAUUUUCAAAGACUUUG